UACGUAGGGACCAAGCGUUGUCCGGAAUCAUUGGGCGUAAAGCGCGCGUAGGUGGCUUCGUAAGUCCGUUGUGAAAGUCAAAGGCUCAACCUUUGAAAGCCGAUGGAUACUGCGGAGCAAGAGUACGGAAGAGGCGAGUGGAAUUCCUGGUGUAGCGGUGGAAUGCGCAGAUAUCAGGAGGAACACCAAUAGCGAAGGCAGCUCGCUGGGACGUUACUGACACUGAGGCGCGAAAGCGUGGGGAGCGAACAGG
Molecule: ribosomal RNA, 253 nt
Filed under: uncultured bacterium
Lineage: Bacteria
Description: partial 16S ribosomal RNA
Rfam family: Bacterial small subunit ribosomal RNA
Source: RNAcentral